CCCUGUUCCUGUCCAUCUUCUGCAAGGGAGUGGCCAGGCCUGAGUGGGACCAACCCCCGGCGGCAGAGUGGCCCCGAGAGGUGACAGAGUGCCGCAGCGCUCCCGGCACCCGCGAGGGAGAGUUUGGCCACAGCCCGGGAUGGGGAAGAGCAGCAGGAGGAGGAGGAGGAGGAGGAGGGGAAAGAUGUGAUGAAUCACGGUGCUGGCACAGCCAUUCCCGCCAGGAAUUCCCACCUGGAAGCAGAGAGCCCCGUUGCGGUCGGCGUCGAAGGCGUCGAACAAGAAGUGGGCGUAGGAGCUGGCGUCUGCGGGGAAGGGGGACGGUGACUCCCCCGGGACUGGGGUCGGGGCAUUCCCCAGUGGGCCCCCCCAGACCCUCGUGCCGGGUUUGGGGACCCCCCGACUCACCGCCUUGAGGGAAGAACCGCGAGUAGAUGAGUGUGAAGGUUUCCUCAUCCACGAGGCCGCUGGGACAUUCCUGGGAAGGGGAGCGGCGCCGGUGACCCCGAAGAAAGCGGGGAGCCAGGGAUUUGGGGUGUCGGACCCCCAGACUCACGUUCUUGAAGCCACGGUAGAGGGAUUGAAGCUCCGACUUGGUGAACUUGGUCCGAGCCAGCAGCUGCUCCAGCCCCUCGGGUUGGUGCCGGAUGGUCGGGAGCUCCACGUCGGCAUCGCCGCUGUCUGCCAGGAGAGAGCCCCGGGCAAAGAUCCCCCCUAGGAACAUCCCCUCCACACCUCAACCCACCCACACCCCCCUAAAACCGCCCCCGUCCCCCUAAAACUACGGCCCAGAGCCUCGGCAGACCCCGAAUCCCCCUCGGGACCCUGGAACACCGCGGGUGUUGCAUCCCGAGGCGUUUCCAGCAUCCCGAAGGCGCAGAACGUUCCCGAGCCGCCUCUUAGCCACUGCUGCUCCGGUCCGGCCCGGUGGAAGGUAAUUAAUAAAUGAUGGUUCAUUAAUAA
This is a long non-coding RNA of Parus major (Great Tit), 963 nucleotides long. RefSeq lists it as uncharacterized. Lineage: Eukaryota; Metazoa; Chordata; Aves; Passeriformes; Paridae. The record is from RefSeq and is a predicted model, not a curated record. The transcript is spliced from 2 exons.